AGGAUGAACGCUGGCGGCGUGCCUAACACAUGCAAGUCGAACGUCCUGUCUCGCAAGAGGCAGGGAGUGGCGGACGGGUGAGUACCACGUGGGUCAUCUACCGUGAGGUGAGGAAUACCGGCGAGAAAUCGCCGACAAGACCGCAUAGGCUCGAUGCAAGUCGAGCAAAGCUCUUUCGAGAGAGGGAGCGCCACACGAGGAGCCUGCGCCCGAUUAGCUAGCUGGUGGAGUAACGGUUCACCAGGGCGACGAUCGGUAGCUGGUCUGAGAGGACGAUCAGCCACACUGGGAUUGAGAACGGCCCAGACUCCUACGGGGGGCAGCAGUGAGGAAUUUUCGUCAAUGGGGGCAACCCCUGAACGAGCAACGCGCGUGCAGGAGAAGGUUUUCGGAUCGUAAACUGCUUUUCUCGGGGAAGAGAAUGGACGGUACCCGAGGAAUCAGCCCCGGCUAACUACGUGCCAGCAGCCGCGGU
This 475-nucleotide ribosomal RNA is filed under the name uncultured bacterium. RNAcentral's name for it is "SSU rRNA". It matches the Rfam family "Bacterial small subunit ribosomal RNA", at positions 26 to 521 of the family's 1533-position model. The record is from RNAcentral.